This 352-nucleotide unclassified non-coding RNA is filed under the name soil metagenome. Its description in RNAcentral is "partial contains 5.8S ribosomal RNA, internal transcribed spacer 2, and large subunit ribosomal RNA". The stretch from base 1 to 120 matches the Rfam family "5.8S ribosomal RNA", at positions 35 to 154 of the family's 154-position model. The record is from RNAcentral.
GAUGAAGAACGUAGCGAAAUGCGAUACGUAAUGUGAAUUGCAGAUUUCAGUGAAUCAUCGAAUCUUUGAACGCACAUUGCGCCCGCCAGUAUUCUGGCGGGCAUGCCUGUUCGAGCGUCAUUACAACCCUCAGGCCCCCGGGCCUGGCGUUGGGGAUCGGCGGAGCCCCCCGUGGGCACACGCCGUCCCCCAAAUACAGUGGCGGUCCCGCCGCAGCUUCCAUCGCGUAGUAGCUAACACCUCGCGACUGGAGAGCGGCGCGGCCACGCCGUAAAACACCCAACUCUUCUGAAGUUGACCUCGAAUCAGGUAGGAAUACCCGCUGAACUUAAGCAUAUCAAUAAGCGGAGGA